CAGAAACUUAAGGAAUUGACGGGGCCGCACAAGCGGUGGAGCAUGUGGUUUAAUUCGACGAUACGCGAGGAACCUUACCUGGGCUCAAAUGUAUGUUGACGUAUUCUGAAAGGGAUACUUCUUCGGACAAUAUACAAGGUGCUGCAUGGUUGUCGUCAGCUCGUGCCGUGAGGUGUCGGGUUAAGUCCCAUAACGAGCGCAACCCCUAUCAUUAGUUGCCAUCAGGUCAAGCUGGGGACUCUAAUGAAACUGCCUACGCAAGUAGUGAGGAAGGUGGGGAUGACGUCAAAUCAGCACGGCCCUUACGUCCAGGGCUACACACGUGCUACAAUGGCCGGUACAAAGGGCAGCUACCUGGUGACAGGAUGCAAAUCUCCAAAGUCGGUCUCAGUUCGGAUCGGAGUCUGCAACCCGACUCCGUGAAGUUGGAUUCGCUAGUAAUCGCGCAUCAGCCAUGGCGCGGUGAAUACGUUCCCGGGCCUU
This 483-nucleotide ribosomal RNA is filed under the name uncultured Sphingobacteriales bacterium. RNAcentral describes it as "bacterial SSU rRNA". It matches the Rfam family "Bacterial small subunit ribosomal RNA", at positions 894 to 1382 of the family's 1533-position model. Lineage: Bacteria; Pseudomonadati; Bacteroidota; Sphingobacteriia; Sphingobacteriales. The record is from RNAcentral.